AGCUAACGCGCUAAGUAGACCGCCUGGGGAGUACGGCCGCAAGGUUAAAACUCAAAUGAAUUGACGGGGGCCCGCACAAGCGGUGGAGCAUGUGGUUUAAUUCGAUGCAACGCGAAGAACCUUACCUACUCUUGACAUCCAGAAAAUUUGGCAGAGAUGCCUCAGUGCCUUCGGGAAUUCUGAGACAGGUGCUGCAUGGCUGUCGUCAGCUCGUGUCGUGAGAUGUUCGGUUAAGUCCGGCAACGAGCGCAACCCACAUCUUUAGUUGCCAGCAGUUCGGCUGGGCACUCUAAAGAAACUGCCCGUGAUAAGCGGGAGGAAGGUGUGGAUGACGUCAAGUCCUCAUGGCCCUUACGGGUUGGGCUACACACGUGCUACAAUGGCAUUUACAGAGGGAAGCGAGACAGUGAUGUGGAGCGGACCCCUUAAA
RNAcentral lists this ribosomal RNA (430 nucleotides) under Eutreptiella gymnastica. RNAcentral's name for it is "partial Bacterial small subunit ribosomal RNA". It matches the Rfam family "Bacterial small subunit ribosomal RNA", at positions 850 to 1280 of the family's 1533-position model. The record is from RNAcentral. Lineage: Eukaryota; Euglenozoa; Euglenophyceae; Eutreptiales; Eutreptiaceae.